GAUGAACGCUAGCUACAGGCUUAACACAUGCAAGUCGAGGGGAAACGACAUCGAAAGCUUGCUUUUGAUGGGCGUCGACCGGCGCACGGGUGAGUAACGCGUAUCCAACCUGCCCACCACUUGGGGAUAACCUUGCGAAAGUAAGACUAAUACCCAAUGAUAUCUCUAGAAGACAUCUGAAAGAGAUUAAAGAUUUAUCGGUGAUGGAUGGGGAUGCGUCUGAUUAGCUUGUUGGCGGGGUAACGGCCCACCAAGGCGACGAUCAGUAGGGGUUCUGAGAGGAAGGUCCCCCACAUUGGAACUGAGACACGGUCCAAACUCCUACGGGAGGCAGCAGUGAGGAAUAUUGGUCAAUGGGCGAGAGCCUGAACCAGCCAAGUAGCGUGCAGGAUGACGGCCCGUAUGGGUUGUAAACUGCUUUUAUAAGGGAAUAAAGUGAGUCUCGUGAGACUUUUUGCAUGUACCUUAUGAAUAAGGACCGGCUAAUUCCGUGCCAGCAGCCGAC
RNAcentral lists this ribosomal RNA (505 nucleotides) under uncultured bacterium. RNAcentral's name for it is "bacterial SSU rRNA". It matches the Rfam family "Bacterial small subunit ribosomal RNA", at positions 28 to 518 of the family's 1533-position model. The record is from RNAcentral.